RNAcentral lists this ribosomal RNA (650 nucleotides) under Pseudomonas sp. AE2B 30. Its description in RNAcentral is "bacterial SSU rRNA". It matches the Rfam family "Bacterial small subunit ribosomal RNA", at positions 84 to 730 of the family's 1533-position model. The record is from RNAcentral. Lineage: Bacteria; Pseudomonadati; Pseudomonadota; Gammaproteobacteria; Pseudomonadales; Pseudomonadaceae.
UUCUCUUGAGAGCGGCGGACGGGUGAGUAAUGCCUAGGAAUCUGCCUGGUAGUGGGGGAUAACGUUCGGAAACGGACGCUAAUACCGCAUACGUCCUACGGGAGAAAGCAGGGGACCUUCGGGCCUUGCGCUAUCAGAUGAGCCUAGGUCGGAUUAGCUAGUUGGUGAGGUAAUGGCUCACCAAGGCGACGAUCCGUAACUGGUCUGAGAGGAUGAUCAGUCACACUGGAACUGAGACACGGUCCAGACUCCUACGGGAGGCAGCAGUGGGGAAUAUUGGACAAUGGGCGAAAGCCUGAUCCAGCCAUGCCGCGUGUGUGAAGAAGGUCUUCGGAUUGUAAAGCACUUUAAGUUGGGAGGAAGGGCAGUUACCUAAUACGUGAUUGUUUUGACGUUACCGACAGAAUAAGCACCGGCUAACUCUGUGCCAGCAGCCGCGGUAAUACAGAGGGUGCAAGCGUUAAUCGGAAUUACUGGGCGUAAAGCGCGCGUAGGUGGUUAGUUAAGUUGGAUGUGAAAUCCCCGGGCUCAACCUGGGAACUGCAUUCAAAACUGACUGACUAGAGUAUGGUAGAGGGUGGUGGAAUUUCCUGUGUAGCGGUGAAAUGCGUAGAUAUAGGAAGGAACACCAGUGGCGAAGGCGACCACCU